RNAcentral lists this long non-coding RNA (1908 nucleotides) under Bos mutus (wild yak). RNAcentral describes it as "lncRNA (ENSBMUG00000026728.1)". Lineage: Eukaryota; Metazoa; Chordata; Mammalia; Artiodactyla; Bovidae. The record is from RNAcentral.
AACUUUCACCUUCCGAACUCGCCUUCUUUCAUUGGACAAAGUACAGAAAGAAAGAGGAGAGACCGAGGGAGGACGGGAGAGAAGGAGAAAGGGGGUUGAAAACACCACCCUACCUCCCCCUCCUUCAACUGUCACUGAUGGCAAAACACUUUCACUUUUAACUGGAGGAAACUCACAUCCCUGUCUAUCCUCUCCUCUUCCUUCUGUAUUUUUAGCUCAGAAACCAAGCAAAUAGCCAUCGUAUUACGAUCUUCGUCCCUAGUUGCUAACACUCUCCCUCUCGUUUUUUUUCCCCCAGUGUCUGAAUGGGCCCCCCUUUGCCCCUCUUCUGAAGAAUCCCCCUCCCCCAUGCCCCUUGUUUUCCAGGUCUUUCUUGCCUGAUUCCUCUUUUGCCAGGGACUGCUCUGGCGUGGCCCUCCUCUCUCGGGUCUGCAGGCUCUGCCUCCUUCUCCCCCAUCCAGCCUGGAUGCCCCUCACUCCCACCUCUCUGAUCCCCUUGCCCCCAAUUCCCACCUCCCCCAGCCCUGCUUUGGCAACUGCGAUUUUUUUUUUUUUUUUUUUUUGCUGCAAGCCUUGUUGUUUACCCAGCAGGUGGAUGUGACGUCAGGGACGCACAACAGCAAAAAAUAACAACAUCUCCCUCCGCGACGUGUUGGCCUCCCGCGCGCCUUAUUUAUUUAUUUGUUCCGGGGGUGAGGGUGGGGGCGGGCACCAGCACCUAAGUGUCUUGGGGAAGGAGGGUGAGCAGGCUCAAGCCCGGGGGUGGUUUGUGGGCGCGUGAGGUGGAGAAGGGGCCCAGGCUGGAUGCCAGGGGUGGGAGCAGGCUGGGGAAAGCCCCGGGCCCGACGCCGUCCGCGCCUCUGCGGCCGCCGCCACCACUGGCGCUAGCUGGGCUCCGGGAAGCUAGUCCGGAGCGGAGGAAUCUAUUGUUAUUUAUUGUGUGGCGGUUUCAUGCUGUACUCGCGCGGCCCGGCCCUCGCCCGGGAGUGCGUGUGUGUGUGCGUGUGUGUCUGUGUGUGUGUGUGUAUAUGUGAGCGCGCGCGCGUGUGUGACCAAGUGAGUGUGUUUGCGGGGGUGCGCGCGCGGGCGGGAGUGGGCGCGCUCGGGGAAAGGCCCGAAAACACCUUAGUUUGCACCGAGAGACCAUUUGCUGCGGAACCCGAAAGUUUGCAAGAGGAAGAGAGCGUGUGGCGAGCAAGCGGGCCAGGGGCAGCGGCAGCGGCGCCGGGGACCAUGGUGCUGCCGGCGCCUCCUCCGCGGGCGUGAAGGCGGCGCUCCCACUCCCUCCCGGGUCUCCGCGGGUAAGUCGAGGCGGCUGCGGCCGCGGGCGGGUGCGCAGGGUCUAGGGACACCCUAGAGCUUUGGGUUGCGCCCGGGGGUUCUCUGUGCCCAAAGCCUCAGCAUGGGCGGCGCGAGCGCAGCGAUCUGGCGCCGGAGCCAGGAAUGCGCCUGUCCUCAAGCCGGUAGGUGCUUCGAAAUAUUAGACUUUCUCCUUUUUCCCCCUUUUCUUUCCAAAAUCCGAAAAUCUAGAGAUCAAAGUUUAGCGUGGAGUAUAAAGUGCUCUGAUAAAAUAUGAUGACAUCCCUCGCUCCCCUUCUCACCCUUCUCCCCCCCCCCCCCCCCCCCCUUUCCCCUUUAUUUCCAAGUCAUUGUGUCCAAAUACCCUUGCCGGGCUGAUUACAAAGUGUAUUGAUUUAGUCUAGGCUCAUCCUACGCGUUCGUUUUAAUUCCUUUUCUUUUGCUCAACCAGAAAACCCGAAAUGAAACUUAUUUGUUCCUCUGUGCACCCCCUGCCCCCAGCCUUCGAGGCUUGGACAGAAUAAUGAAAUUAAUAUAAACAUUUCAUUUGGUUGCAUUUGAGCUUUUCCAGCCCACUUAGGAGGGGCUGGUGUUGCUCUCAUGUCUGGU